GAUGAACGCUGGCGGCGUGCUUAACACAUGCAAGUCGAACGGAGCACCCUGACGGAGUUUCGGACAACGAAAGGGAAUGCUUAGUGGCGGACGGGUGAGUAACGCGUGAGUAACCUGCCUUGGAGUGGGGAAUAACAGCCGGAAACGGCUGCUAAUACCGCAUGAUGUAUCUGGAUCGCAUGGUUCUGGAUACCAAAGAUUUAUCGCUCUGAGAUGGACUCGCGUCUGAUUAGCUAGUUGGUGAGGUAACGGCUCACCAAGGCGACGAUCAGUAGCCGGACUGAGAGGUUGGCCGGCCACAUUGGGACUGAGACACGGCCCAG
RNAcentral lists this ribosomal RNA (323 nucleotides) under uncultured bacterium. RNAcentral's name for it is "bacterial SSU rRNA". It matches the Rfam family "Bacterial small subunit ribosomal RNA", at positions 28 to 334 of the family's 1533-position model. The record is from RNAcentral.